UGUGAAGACACACAGAAGACACAUUGGCCCCAGACAGAGCCUCUUGUGAAUGACAGUGACCAGAGGCAAGAUCUACCCACAUUUAUGAAGCAUCACAGGACCGAACAGGAGUAACCUGGAGUUGACUGUACUCAGUCCAGAAGGUCAUUAAUUGGGGACUGGGAAGGAAGAAAGUGAGGUCCGUGCACACCAAAAAUAGCUUCCAGAAUGACUCUGACUCUCUGAUCCAUCUUCACCUUCUUUCUCUAGCUCUGUGCCAUAGAGGAUGGCUUCACUCAAGCUCUGCAUUCUACUGGGAUUUGACCAAUGCAAAGCACCAACAAAUUACUGGAGAGGAACAUCUGUGCAUAGACAACAGCAUCCUUCUGUCCUGAUAGUUUGUUUCCCUCCUGGUUUGGGCCAGGGCAUUACCUCCAAGGAAGACUGCUCUUCCUACAGUCAUUUCAGGGGCGGUUUCUGUAUGGCCCCUGGGAGAAUCUCCUAAUGAACUCUAGUUUGUACAGAAGAUGGUACUGGUGAGAUUCCAGCAUGCAUGUGAGAUGCUACUCCAGAAAGCACCAUGCUAUCUGUGAAAAACUGCCAAAAGAAGUAUAGACUAAUGCUUGGGGGAGGGAGGGUUAAGAGAGGGGAUUUUAAAUGACUCCUAAACAUAUUGCUGAAAAAUGUUUAUUCUUGUUACACACAUAGUAAGAAUAAUUUGUAGCAUUAGCACACAAAAAACCGUUGCACAGAAAUUAUUUCGUGGGAACCUCAUCUGAUACUUGUGCAUCCCCAUGCACAAGUGAUGGAGUUAGGACCACUGAAGUCAGCUGCUUAGAGGUCACCUAAGUCUUCUGCAAAGGAAUCAUACAUAUUAACUUUAAAUCAGAAGAAAAGAUAACUUCUCCAUUUUAAGUUAAAAAUAGAGCAAUGAAUUAAACCUGAGUUUCUAUGUGCUAUAAACAAGAAUUUUUUUAUCAUUCCAAACUUCUUUGUCCAUGUAUACUUCCUGCACCUGCACUGCAAAGCACGUUUGCAUUGCAUGCCACUUUGGGUGGUUGCACUUGGAGACUGGACUACCAGCUUCAGGUACAGGCUGUACUUACGGUUGAGGGCAGCAGCUCCUGAGAGGUACCUGAUGGCCAUUUUGUGUAUCACUUCUUGUGCUGGGAAACAGCCCAAGAUUUGACAUGAUAGAUCUGCCCCUUGCAAAAUGAUGGUAACCAUCUGGUCCAAUCUGAUUAUUUUUUUAAGGAAUUCUAACUUGAAGUAUGAGAGGAUAUGUAGACAGUGGGCAAGUAGCAAAGGUCAUUAAGCACUGAGGUCAUGAAUUGAUAGAAGAGAUGACUGAAUAAAAGCCUGAGAGGAAGAAAACAAGAAGACAAUCAGAAGACCAAGAGCAAAAAAGGGGGCCUUAAGUAAGUGAAAACUAAAAGAUCUAUUUAUUAAGGAGGAAGGUCAUUGGUUGGUAUUAAUUGGUAAUGGAAGGAGGGAGAGAAGGAACAAAGGAGGGAAGGAGGGAGACAGAGACAGACUCAAUUACUAAGAACAUCUUAAUUGGACCUGACAACUCCAGCUUCUAAGAAACGUCCAGGUGACUCAGCCUCCAGAACCACACUGGUCCCUGGAUGACCUCUGAGCUCACAAAUGCUGUUCUAUCUCUUCCCGCAGGGCCUGAUGAGCAGCUGUUUCCCUAGGGCUCAGCCAUGUUAUUGUUGGUCUAAUCAUAUUUAUUCCCAAGCAUAUCCUCACAGUAAAUCUAUCAUUUGAAGUAAAUUAAGUAAGUGUCUAUUUCUUGCUAGCAAAAAGGCUAACACAGUAGUUGCAAUGGAAAAUCACAAGUAUAGGAAGAUGGCAGUGCUCUUAAAGGUUUGGCUUGUUAUUAUAGGGCUCUGUGCCAUUGUGACAAUACAGGGAAGACAUCGCAUGUCUAAGAAGUAAUGAUUUCACACCUUCUUCUUAGCUCUUCCAGUGAUGCACUGCCAACUCACCUUCAUGAAACAUCACUGAUCAAGCAUCCAUUUUCAACCUACAGCCCAAGACAGUGUUCCACCUGUGGGAGUGUUCAAAAACUGUUACCCAUCAGGGUUCAUGGGAAAUACUGAAGAUACAAUCUCUCAGAGGUUUUAAAAAGGGGUAGCACU
This is a long non-coding RNA of Chinchilla lanigera (long-tailed chinchilla), 2123 nucleotides long. RefSeq lists it as uncharacterized. Lineage: Eukaryota; Metazoa; Chordata; Mammalia; Rodentia; Chinchillidae. The transcript is spliced from 4 exons. The record is from RefSeq and is a predicted model, not a curated record.